GGCGCCAUUGCCAUUAUAAGAGAGCAAGGGAGGCGUGCAUGAACCGAAAGUGAUGCUGACACUUUUGACAAACCAGAUUUUUUCACCUGCUGAAAUUGAUGAAUACAUACGCCAUUUGGCUCAGCAAUUGGACUCCUGCCAUUGCUGGAGAUGGAGCCUAAAGCAACAGACAGGAGGCGAAGGAACAUUUUUAACAAGUUUCCAAUUGCCUCGCUUUACCCUGUCUUCAUCAAUCCCGACUGCCAGGAAGGAAACCUUGUAGUCUGAAGAGAUUCCAACACAAAUUUCCUUGGCUCGCGGACAACAGUGCCUCGAGCAAGUCAUGUUUCCAUUAUUUCAAAUGUUUAACAGGCCCCCAAAGAGAAGUGAGAUUUCUAAAAGAUGCAUAAUGCGCUGUUCCCUAUUCUGUAGGAACACAUCUCAUAAUGUUAUCUUCUUAUGGCUCUGAAAUAGGGUCCACUUUUAAGUAAUAUGUUUGGAAAAAUUG
Long non-coding RNA from Podarcis muralis (Common wall lizard), 487 nucleotides. RefSeq lists it as uncharacterized. NCBI's taxonomy places the organism in Eukaryota, Metazoa, Chordata, Lepidosauria, Squamata, Lacertidae. The record is from RefSeq and is a predicted model, not a curated record.